Molecule: ribosomal RNA, 301 nt
Filed under: uncultured bacterium
Lineage: Bacteria
Description: partial 16S ribosomal RNA
Rfam family: Bacterial small subunit ribosomal RNA
Source: RNAcentral
CAGUAGCCGCGGGAAUACAGAGGGUGCGAGCGUUAAUCGGAUUUACUGGGCGUAAAGCGUGCGUAGGCGGCUUCUUAAGUCGGAUGUGAAAUCCCUGAGCUUAACUUAGGAAUUGCAUUCGAUACUGGGAAGCUAGAGUAUGGGAGAGGAUGGUAGAAUUCCAGGUGUAGCGGUGAAAUGCGUAGAGAUCUGGAGGAAUACCGAUGGCGAAGGCAGCCAUCUGGCCUAAUACUGACGCUGAGGUACGAAAGCAUGGGGAGCAAACAGGAUUAGAUACCCCAGUAGUCCCUGUUUCUUAUAU